Acomys russatus (golden spiny mouse) is the source of this 796-nucleotide long non-coding RNA. RefSeq lists it as uncharacterized. Lineage: Eukaryota; Metazoa; Chordata; Mammalia; Rodentia; Muridae. The transcript is spliced from 3 exons. The record is from RefSeq and is a predicted model, not a curated record.
CUUUCCUUCCUUCUCACCCUGUAUUCCUGUUUCUCUCUGGCACUAGCAAGUCACACAUCUAGCACAUACUCAAGGAAGGAUAUAAAUACAACCUUUUUAUCUGUAGUGAUACAAAGUAUUAACAAAUCACUAGGGAUCACCAUAGAGUCGAUAAACUGUUAUGUUUAUGUUUAAAUGUCUGAACUGCACAUUACAUCUGGCAUCCAUCACUAUUUAAUGGUGGAUGGAGUGUUUGAUUUUGCCUUUUAUGGAAGUUCUGGGUGUCUUCCCACCUUUUUCUGAUGAUGAGUCAGAUUAUCUGUACAGGUUCUCGUGUUACUUAAAAAUGGAUCCUAGAGUUCUAGAAGGAGUGUUCACUCAACUAAGAAGGCUGUGAUUAAUCUCUGAAUCAAAUGCAUAUAUAGUGGUUCUGUGGAAAAGUAUUUGAAGGCUAUAUAUAUUCAUUUUCUCCAGAGCUAAGAACAUUAAAAUUAAUGUUGGAGCCUGGGAAAACUUGUUUUUACUGCUAAGGUGAAUGUUCUAAUGUUCUGUGCAUUCAUAAAAUCUCUGGUUUCCUUUAUUCUUUUGAUCAGUUCCUGCUACAAGCCUUGAACCAGUUAUUAGAACUGAGGCUCCAGGGACAACAUUAGCUCCCAAACUGCCUCACCAACCAGGCCAUGCACAUCCCAAACCUAAAACCACAAGGAGUCCUGCAGCACCUCAGACAGAACUGGCUAGCAAAAUAUCACAAAGAACACACCAUCCGCGACCCAGACCUAAAGCCACAUUGAGCCCUCAAGCACCUCAGACAAAACCU